AUCGCUUCUCGGCCUUUUGGCUAAGAUCAAGUGUAGUAUCUGUUCAAAUUAGUCUGAGUGCCACUAACAGAUGAAUGAAUAAAGACAAAACAUGGCACAUAAACAUAAUGGAAAAUCUUC
Small nuclear RNA from Rattus norvegicus (Norway rat), 120 nucleotides. Ensembl annotates it as RNA, U2 small nuclear 24. Its record names the gene Rnu2-24. NCBI's taxonomy places the organism in Eukaryota, Metazoa, Chordata, Mammalia, Rodentia, Muridae. The record is from Ensembl.